This 45-nucleotide non-coding RNA is filed under the name Schistosoma margrebowiei. The record is from RNAcentral. Lineage: Eukaryota; Metazoa; Platyhelminthes; Trematoda; Strigeidida; Schistosomatidae.
AUCCGACUGACGAGUUCCAAAUAGGACGAAGCGCGUGCUCUGGAU